RNAcentral lists this ribosomal RNA (502 nucleotides) under Penicillium glabrum. RNAcentral's name for it is "eukaryotic LSU rRNA". The stretch from base 139 to 292 matches the Rfam family "5.8S ribosomal RNA". The record is from RNAcentral. Lineage: Eukaryota; Fungi; Ascomycota; Eurotiomycetes; Eurotiales; Aspergillaceae.
GUGUUUAUUGUACCUUGUUGCUUCGGUGCGCCCGCCUCACGGCCGCCGGGGGGCUUCUGCCCCCGGGUCCGCGCGCACCGGAGACACUAUUGAACUCUGUCUGAAGAUUGCAGUCUGAGCAUAAACUAAAUAAGUUAAAACUUUCAACAACGGAUCUCUUGGUUCCGGCAUCGAUGAAGAACGCAGCGAAAUGCGAUAACUAAUGUGAAUUGCAGAAUUCAGUGAAUCAUCGAGUCUUUGAACGCACAUUGCGCCCCCUGGUAUUCCGGGGGGCAUGCCUGUCCGAGCGUCAUUGCUGCCCUCAAGCACGGCUUGUGUGUUGGGCUCCGUCCCCCCGGGGACGGGUCCGAAAGGCAGCGGCGGCACCGAGUCCGGUCCUCGAGCGUAUGGGGCUUUGUCACCCGCUCUGUAGGCCCGGCCGGCGCCAGCCGACAACCAAUCAUCCUUUUUUCAGGUUGACCUCGGAUCAGGUAGGGAUACCCGCUGAACUUAAGCAUAUCAA